CUAUAGCUCAGCUGGAUAGAGCAACGGCCUUCUAAGCCGUGGGUCGCAGGUUCGAAUCCUGCUAG
This 65-nucleotide transfer RNA is filed under the name mouse gut metagenome. It matches the Rfam family "tRNA", at positions 5 to 66 of the family's 71-position model. From Rfam's summary of the family: Transfer RNA (tRNA) molecules are approximately 80 nucleotides in length. Their secondary structure includes four short double-helical elements and three loops (D, anti-codon, and T loops). Further hydrogen bonds mediate the characteristic L-shaped molecular structure. tRNAs have two regions of fundamental functional importance: the anti-codon, which is responsible for specific mRNA codon recognition, and the 3' end, to which the tRNAs corresponding amino acid is attached (by aminoacyl-tRNA synthetases). tRNAs cope with the degeneracy of the genetic code in two manners: having more than one tRNA (with a specific anti-codon) for a particular amino acid; and 'wobble' base-pairing, i.e. permitting non-standard base-pairing at the 3rd anti-codon position. The record is from RNAcentral. RNAcentral also lists the same sequence under 1 other name.